Non-coding RNA from Pelobates cultripes (western spadefoot toad), 322 nucleotides. NCBI's taxonomy places the organism in Eukaryota, Metazoa, Chordata, Amphibia, Anura, Pelobatidae. The record is from the annotation of a GenBank genome assembly.
UGGCAAGGGAGCCUUUUUGUAUAUAUUUAUUGGAAUGUAAUUGUGCACUAAAAACAGAAGGUCAUUCUUUUGAUAGGCUUUCUUUUGAAUUAUACUAAGUUAUGCAUUGGUACAAAAAGGCAUGCUUUGGCACAGGCUAUAUAUAUGAAACUUAAAUGAAGAGGUUCAGCAAAGUAUCCAUUCAACACUAAGGCGUCGCUAUAAUCACUUUAUCAGCUUUCAAUAAGCCCUUUAUCGCUUUAGAUCAAUUAAAUUACCAUCAAUAAAGGAGGAUAUACAAUUGACCAUCCUCCAAACAGUGUAGUUAAUUGGACACUAUAGG